This 253-nucleotide ribosomal RNA is filed under the name uncultured bacterium. RNAcentral describes it as "partial 16S ribosomal RNA". It matches the Rfam family "Bacterial small subunit ribosomal RNA", at positions 524 to 776 of the family's 1533-position model. The record is from RNAcentral.
UACGAAGGGGGCUAGCGUUGCUCGGAAUCACUGGGCGGAAAGCGCACGUAGGCGGAUUGCUAAGUCAGGGGUGAAAUCCUGGAGCUCAACUCCAGAACUGCCUUUGAUACUGGCGAUCUCGAGUUCGGGAGAGGUGAGUGGAACUGCGAGUGUAGAGGUGAAAUUCGUAGAUAUUCGCAAGAACACCAGUGGCGAAGGCGGCUCACUGGCCCGAUACUGACGCUGAGGUGCGAAAGCGUGGGGAGCAAACAGG